GGAUUAGAUACCCUGGUAGUCCACGCCGUAAACGAUGGAUACUAGAUGUCGGACGUUCUUACCCGUUCGGUGUCGCAGCUAACGCAUUAAGUAUCCCGCCUGGGGACUACGGUCGCAAGACUAAAACUCAAAGAAAUUGACGGGGACCCGCACAAGCGGUGGAGUAUGUUGUUUAGUUCGAUGCAACGCGAAAAACCUUACCUGGGUUUGACAUCCUGUGCUACCCUGUGAAAGCAGGGGUUCUCUUCGGAGACGCGGUGACAGGUGCUGCAUGGCUGUCGUCAGCUCGUGCUG
RNAcentral lists this ribosomal RNA (294 nucleotides) under uncultured bacterium. Its description in RNAcentral is "partial 16S ribosomal RNA". It matches the Rfam family "Bacterial small subunit ribosomal RNA", at positions 775 to 1067 of the family's 1533-position model. The record is from RNAcentral.